GCUGAUGUGCGUGAUGACUAAAACUUUUUUCCCCAGCAGAGCGACACUGUUGACUUUGCUGUUUUAGCCAGAUCUUGUCUGAUACAUCAGU
This is a small nucleolar RNA of Eublepharis macularius, 91 nucleotides long. RefSeq annotates it as small nucleolar SNORD12/SNORD106. The record is from RefSeq and is a predicted model, not a curated record. The transcript has a single exon. NCBI's taxonomy places the organism in Eukaryota, Metazoa, Chordata, Lepidosauria, Squamata, Eublepharidae.